GACGAACGCUGGCGGCGUGCUUAACACAUGCAAGUCGAGCGGUAAGGCCCUUUCGGGGGUACACGAGCGGCGAACGGGUGAGUAACACGUGGGUGACCUGCCCUUAGCUCUGGGAUAAGCCUGGGAAACUGGGUCUAAUACCGGAUAUGACCUCAUGACGCAUGUUGUGGGGUGGAAAGCCUUGUGCGGCUAGGGAUGGGCCCGCGGCCUAUCAGCUUGUUGGUGGGGUGAUGGCCACCAAGGCGACGACGGGUAGCCGGCCUGAGAGGGCGACCGGCCACACUGGGACUGAGACACGGCCCAGACUCCUACGGGAGGCAGCAGUGGGGAAUCUUGCGCAAUGGGCGAAAGCCUGACGCAGCGACGCCGCGUGAGGGAUGACGGCCUCGGUGUAA
This 395-nucleotide ribosomal RNA is filed under the name uncultured bacterium. Its description in RNAcentral is "bacterial SSU rRNA". It matches the Rfam family "Bacterial small subunit ribosomal RNA", at positions 28 to 428 of the family's 1533-position model. The record is from RNAcentral.